This is a long non-coding RNA of Mytilus trossulus (common blue mussel), 603 nucleotides long. RefSeq lists it as uncharacterized. The record is from RefSeq and is a predicted model, not a curated record. The transcript is spliced from 3 exons. NCBI's taxonomy places the organism in Eukaryota, Metazoa, Mollusca, Bivalvia, Mytilida, Mytilidae.
AAACAAUCAGCGACUUACGAAUUGGAACAAGUACGUUUAUUAAAUGAUAUGAUGAAUGGUUCUGCAUUUCUUUAUGAGAGUACAGUAUCAAAUAUCAGUUUCAUAACGGAUGGAGAAAGAUGUUUACUAUGAAUCAAAAAUUCAAUACAGAGGACUUUUAUAUACAUGUAUCAACAAAAACACUACCAGAAUAUGCACAUAUAUACAUUAAGAAAACAGUAAUCAAAUGGAAUGUCCACGACGAGUAAUGUUGAAAGCAAAACUUUUUUGUUUAAAAUAGAAAACAAUAUGACUAGAAUAAUAACAUGAUUAAGGUACACUGUCAGCAUGGUCAGAAGAAAAUUUUUACUGGAGGAUGAAAAUUUUGAUACCUUGAAUCAGCAAUGUAUAUGAAAAUGAAAAUAAGAUAUAUUCAUGUACAGAAUGGUAAACAUGUGGUUCAAUUGUUUAUUAGCAGACAUUUUUGUUGAACUUAUGCAGGAUUGAACAAAUGAAACUUAAGCUGACUAUGGGCUCAAUGUGUAGUAAAAAGAGGAUUUUGAAAUAUGCAAGAUUCAUCAACGUUAAAAUGUGCAAAAGUGAAAUGUCACCAUAUUUAGUAAA